UGCGGAGUAGAGGAGCGGUUUCCUUGUCGCCCUCAUAAGGCGAAGACCUCGGUUCAAAUCCGAGCUCCGCAA
Molecule: transfer RNA, 72 nt
Filed under: Caudoviricetes sp.
Lineage: Duplodnaviria; Heunggongvirae; Uroviricota; Caudoviricetes
Description: tRNA-Met
Rfam family: tRNA
About the family: Transfer RNA (tRNA) molecules are approximately 80 nucleotides in length. Their secondary structure includes four short double-helical elements and three loops (D, anti-codon, and T loops). Further hydrogen bonds mediate the characteristic L-shaped molecular structure. tRNAs have two regions of fundamental functional importance: the anti-codon, which is responsible for specific mRNA codon recognition, and the 3' end, to which the tRNAs corresponding amino acid is attached (by aminoacyl-tRNA synthetases). tRNAs cope with the degeneracy of the genetic code in two manners: having more than one tRNA (with a specific anti-codon) for a particular amino acid; and 'wobble' base-pairing, i.e. permitting non-standard base-pairing at the 3rd anti-codon position.
Source: RNAcentral